CGCGUGAGGAACCUGCCUCAAAGAGGGGGACAACAGUUGGAAACGACUGCUAAUACCGCAUAAGCCCACGGGUCGGCAUCGACCAGAGGGAAAAGGAGCAAUCCGCUUUGAGAUGGCCUCGCGUCCGAUUAGCUAGUUGGUGAGGUAACGGCCCACCAAGGCGACGAUCGGUAGCCGGACUGAGAGGUUGAACGGCCACAUUGGGACUGAGACACGGCCCAG
This 222-nucleotide ribosomal RNA is filed under the name uncultured bacterium. RNAcentral describes it as "partial 16S ribosomal RNA". It matches the Rfam family "Bacterial small subunit ribosomal RNA", at positions 114 to 334 of the family's 1533-position model. The record is from RNAcentral.